This 401-nucleotide long non-coding RNA is filed under the name Lupinus angustifolius (narrow-leaved blue lupine). Its description in RNAcentral is "long non-coding RNA (LANG_LNC000019)". Lineage: Eukaryota; Viridiplantae; Streptophyta; Magnoliopsida; Fabales; Fabaceae. The record is from RNAcentral.
GUCUAAAUAUUAUACUUCCAAAACACAAUUGAGGAUAAUAUCAACCUAAAUCUUCAGCAUGUUAUGAUUUGAUUUUUUUAUUCUUGCUUCUUUCAUGAACAAAAUAACCAAAUUGGAUGAGCAGUGUUAAUUGAGACAAAAAGAAGAAGAAUGACGGAGAGAGAGGAAAGGAGGACCUUGUGUGUUUUCAUUUUGUAGCCUUUUUUGGCGGAUACAACGGUGAGAGUGCGAAGCUUUGAAGGAAGAAGAAUUGAAGGUUUUUGAGGAAGAAGAAUUGAAGCAGAAAUGUUGGUUGACCAAUGGAGUUUGAGUGAGUUAGUGUUGAGAAGAGGGAAUCGAAGUGAAGAGUGAGAAGAAACACGAGUAGUGGAAGAAGAAGAAGAAGAAGAUGUUAAUGAGAG